AGUUGAGUUGAGUUGAGUUGGUGAAUAUUUAAAAUGAAGGGAAUCCCCCAUUAUGAUUAUGAGGAAUAUGCGUUCAAAAAUUGUUGGUUUUCAAAAUUCUGGUUUAGGUAUUUUAUAUGCCAAUUGUUGGAAUUGAAUUUUUGUGUGCAUGAUUUGGUAUGGAACCCAUCGAGAAUAGAUGUAUCAAAUCAUGCCCAAGUUCCUAGAUGAGCGGAUGGUCUUUUUCUAGGCUGAUGCACUUUGAGACAUUUGAAAAACAUGACUGCUUACGACUUAAUUUAAGAUAUGGUUGUUAGUUAUCUUGUGUAGACAUUGAAAAGUUUUUCUUUCUUAUAUCAAUAAUUUAUUUUUGCAAUGUCAACGUCUCUUCUUUACUUUUUCUGUAUGAAUACAUGUUCAUUAGAAUGUGACCAAAGAGGAUUGGCUAAUUUUAGUAUACAAUUUUUUUCCAAGAGGAAAUUCCUCACACGUCCUGAAUGCUUAUAACUAAAGUUUCACUGCGGUUUUAUGGUUCACCACCAGUAAUAGUACGGACUAGUUCAGUUCUAAAAAAAUAGGUAUUAUGAAGGUACAGCUCUUGGUCUAUUUGAGCUUGCCGUUGUAUAGGAUAUUAGGCCAUGCUAUACAUGGAGUUCUUUUGGUUGCUAGGUAGAACUGCUAUUUAGCUUUGUUCCCCAAUGGUUACUGGUAUAUGAGUUCAUAAUUUUUUACUUCUAUCACAUUUUACAUAUUUAGUGCCUGUUAAUCUUCUCUACCACUCAUCACCUUUUUUCAGUUAGUUUGAAAUUUGCUUUUAGUAACAAUUUGUUUUGCUUUACUUAUUUUACUUUGAUAUAUAUGGGGCCCUAGGUAUUUUAUUGUUAAAAGUUGCAACCGUGAAAAUUUGGAAUUAUCUGUACAACAAGGAGUUUGGGCAACUCAAAGGAGCAAUGAAGCUAAACUAAAUGAAGCUUUUGACUCUGCUGAAAAUGUGAUUUUGAUUUUCUCAGUCAAUCGGACUCGACAUUUCCAGGGAUGUGCAAAGAUGACAUCCAAAAUUGGUGCUUCUGCUGUUGGGGGGAAUUGGAAGUAUGCGCAUGGAACUGCACACUAUGGACGAAAUUUUUCAGUCAAAUGGUUGAAGUUAUGCGAAUUAUCAUUCCACAAAACGCGCCAUUUGAGGAACCCAUACAAUGAGAACUUACCAGUGAAGAUCAGUAGAGAUUGCCAGGAGCUAGAGCCCUCAAUUGGUGAGCAGUUAGCUUCCUUACUUUAUCUUGAGCCUGACAGUGAACUCAUGGCAAUCUCAGUUGCAGCAGAAGCAAAACGAGAAGAGGAAAAAGCAAAGGGAGUUAAUCCAGACAAUGGAGGAGAGAACCCAGACAUUGUUCCAUUUGAGGACAAUGAAGAAGAGGAGGAGGAAGAAAGUGAAGAGGAGGAGGAGAGUUUUGGUCAGGCUCUUGGGGCUGCAGGUCAAGGGCGAGGGAGAGGCAGGGGAAUCAUGUGGCCUCAGAUGCCACUGGCCCGUGGUGCUAGGCCCAUCCCUGGGAUGCGAGGUUUCCCCCCAGUGAUGAUGGGUGCUGAUGGCUUUUCUUAUGGACCAGUGGCGCCUGAUGGUUUUGGAAUGCCUGAUCUUUUUGGUGUGGCACACCGUGGAUUUACACCAUUUGGUCCAAGGUUUUCUGGUGAUUUUACAGGUCCUGCAUCUGGCAUGAUGUUUCCUGGGAGACCUUCCCAACCUGGGGCAAUGUUUCCAACUGGUGGAUUUGGCAUGAUGAUGCCAGGACGUGCUCCUUUUAUUGGGGCAAUGGGCCCCACUGCCACAAAUCAACUUCGAGGUAGUCGACCAGGUGUUAUGCCAUUUCCACCACUCCCUACACCAUCUAUUCAAAACAGCAAUAGACCUGUUAAGAGAGAUCAGAGGACAGCAGCUAAUGAUCGAAAUGAUAAAUACAGUGCAGGGUCAGACCAAGGCAGGGGUACAGCCGGCGGACUGGAUGAUGAGGGACAAUACCAGCAAGAAGGAAUAAAGGCUGCCCAUGAAGAUCAAUUUGGUGCGGGGACCAGGUUCAGAAAUGACGAGAGUGAAAGUGAGGAUGAGGCACCAAGGCGAUCAAGGCAUGGGGAAGGGAAAAAGAAGCAACGAGGCUCAGAAGGAGAUGCAACUCCACGCUCUGAUCACUAACAGCACUACUGGCUGAGCUUGAGAGGUGGGUUACAGGCACAUUCACCUAUUUCAGUCAUAGGCUUUAAUGUGAAUACAAUUGAACUAUUUACUCCCCAUGCCUGGGUUGUGUUUCUUAUUUAUUAAGCGUGGGGGAUAAGAGAGGUAUUGGCUGUUGGGCUUUUUCAAUUUUUGCUUUCCUUUUUUUGUUUUUUUUGUUCUCCUUCACCGUUUUUGUUAAAGUUAACUUGUUCGUUAUAUAGCCAAAUUUGUGUAUAUUUGUAUGUUUAAAUGAGUGGAAAUGGAAUGUUGGUGAUUAAUGCAAAUGUUUUUGGAAGAAUUAUUUAUAUGUGAAGGUAUGGACACAGCCGUUUGUCAUCUCAUUUUGAUGAUUCUUAAUAUUGUUGGAUGAGAAACCUUUAUCAUUGUUUCUCAUGAGUACUCGUAUGAUGAUAAUAGCGAGG
RNAcentral lists this unclassified non-coding RNA (2607 nucleotides) under Hevea brasiliensis (rubber tree). Lineage: Eukaryota; Viridiplantae; Streptophyta; Magnoliopsida; Malpighiales; Euphorbiaceae. The record is from RNAcentral.